CGUAGGUGAAACCUGCGGAAGGAUCAUUA
RNAcentral lists this ribosomal RNA (29 nucleotides) under Meyerozyma guilliermondii. RNAcentral's name for it is "partial 18S ribosomal RNA". Lineage: Eukaryota; Fungi; Ascomycota; Pichiomycetes; Serinales; Debaryomycetaceae. The record is from RNAcentral.